GACGAACGCUGGCGGCGUGCUUAACACAUGCAAGUCGAACGGAAAUGCCCUGCUUUUGUGGGGUGCUCGAGUUGCGAACGGGUGAGUAACACGUGAGUAACCUGCCCUUGACUUUGGGAUAACUUCAUGAAACUGGGGCUAAUACCGGAUAGGAGCUCCUGCUGCAUGGUGGGGGUUGGAUAGUUUCGGCGGUUGGGGAUGGACUCGCGGCUUAUCAGCUUGUUGGUGGGGUAGUGGCUUACCAAGGCUUUGACGGGUAGCCGGCCUGAGAGGGUGACCGGACACAUUGGGACUGAAAUACGGCCCAGACUCCUACGGGAGGCAGCAGUGGGGAAUAGUGCACAAUGGGCGGAAGCCUGAUGCAGCAACGCCGCGUGCGGGAUGACAGCCUUCGGGUUGUAAACCGCUUUCGCCUGUGACGAAGAGUGAGUGACGGUAAUGGGUAAAGAAGCACCGGCUAACUACGUG
Molecule: ribosomal RNA, 468 nt
Filed under: uncultured bacterium
Lineage: Bacteria
Description: partial 16S ribosomal RNA
Rfam family: Bacterial small subunit ribosomal RNA
Source: RNAcentral